Molecule: ribosomal RNA, 376 nt
Filed under: uncultured bacterium
Lineage: Bacteria
Description: bacterial SSU rRNA
Rfam family: Bacterial small subunit ribosomal RNA
Source: RNAcentral
AACGUAGGAUCCGAGCGUUAUCCGAAUUCACUGGGCGUAAAGCGCGUGCAGGCGGCUCGGUAAGUUGGAUGUGAAAUCUCCCGGCUCAACUGGGAGAGGACGUUCAAGACUGUCGAGCUCGAGGACGGUAGAGGGAGGUGGAAUUCCCGGUGUAGUGGUGAAAUGCGUAGAUAUCGGGAGGAACACCAGUGGCGAAAGCGGCCUCCUGGACCGUACCUGACGCUCAGACGCGAAAGCUAGGGGAGCGAACGGGAUUAGAAACCCCGGUAGUCCUAGCCGUAAACGAUGUAGACUGGGUGUCGGUGGGGUAAAAGCCAUCGGUGCCGAAGCUAACGCGGUAAGUCUACCGCCUGGGGACUACGGCCGCAAGGUUAAA